This 443-nucleotide ribosomal RNA is filed under the name uncultured bacterium. RNAcentral's name for it is "partial 16S ribosomal RNA". It matches the Rfam family "Bacterial small subunit ribosomal RNA", at positions 338 to 795 of the family's 1533-position model. The record is from RNAcentral.
CCUACGGGAGGCAGCAGUGGGGAAUAUUGGGCAAUGGGCGCAAGCCUGACCCAGCAACGCCGCGUGAAGGAAGAAGGCUUUCGGGUUGUAAACUUCUUUUGUCAGGGACGAAGCAAGUGACGGUACCUGACGAAUAAGCCACGGCUCACUACGUGACAGCAGCCGCGGUAAUACGUAGGUGGCAAGCGUUAUCCGGAUUUACUGGGUGUAAAGGGCGUGUAGGCGGGGAAGCAAGUCAGAUGUGAAAACCACGGGCUCAACCUGUGGCCUGCAUUUGAAACUGUUUUUCUUGAGUACUGGAGAGGCAGACGGAAUUCCUAGUGUAGCGGUGAAAUGCGUAGAUAUUAGGAGGAACACCAGUGGCGAAGGCGGUCUGCUGGACAGCAACUGACGCUGAGGCGCGAAAGCGUGGGGAGCAAACAGGAUUAGAUACCCCGGUAGUC